Molecule: ribosomal RNA, 1153 nt
Filed under: uncultured bacterium
Lineage: Bacteria
Description: bacterial SSU rRNA
Rfam family: Bacterial small subunit ribosomal RNA
Source: RNAcentral
GGUCUGCGCCCUAUCAGCUAGUUGGUGAGGUAAUAGCUCACCAAGGCAAUGACGGGUAGGCGGAGUGAGAGCUUGACCGCCAACAAUGGCACUGAGACACUGGCCAUACUCCUACGGGAGGCUGCAGUCGAGAAUAUUGGUCAAUGGGCGAAAGCCUGAACCAGCGACGUCGCGUGUAGGAAUAAGAUCUUCGGAUUGUAAACUACUUUUAUGAGGGAAGAAUUUUUUAUGACGGUACCUCAUGAAUAAGGGGUGACAAAACUCGUGCCAGCAGUAGCGGUAAUACGAGUGCCCCAAGCGUUAUCCGGAUUAAUUGGGCGUAAAGGGUCUGUAGGCGGUUUGUUAAGUUUUCCGUUAAAUCUUCAGGGCUCAACCUUGGAGCUGCGGGAAAAACUAACAGACUAGAGGAUGUUAGAGGUUAGCGGAAUGUCUGGUGGAGGGGUGAAAUCCGUUGAUAUCAGAUAGAACACCAAAAGCGAAGGCAGCUAACUGGGGCAAUCCUGACGCUGAGAGACGAAAGCGUGGGGAUAAAAGAGGAUUAGAUACCCUUGUAUUCCACGCCCUAAACGAUGAGCACUAGCUAUUGCAAGUGUCGACCCUUGCAGUGGCUAAGCUAACGCGUUAAGUGCUCCGCCUGGGAAGUACGGCCGCAAGGCUAAAACUCAAAGGAAUAGACGGGGACUCACACAAGCGGUGGAUCACGUGGCUUAAUUCGACACUAAGCGAGGAACCUUACCAAGGCUUGAAACUUUAAUGUAAUCCUUCCGAAAGGAAGGCCCUCCGCAAGGACAUUAGAGCAGGUGCUGCAUGGUUGUCGUCAGCAGGUGGCUUGAGUUGCUCCCUUAAAUGGGGUAACCUGCGCAACCCUUGCCCUAUGUUUUACAUGUCAUGGGGGACUGCCUAGGACAACUAGGAGGAAGGUGAGGAUGACGCUAAAUCAGCAUGGCCCUUUGAUGCCUUGGGCUGCACACGUGAUACAAUGAAAACGACAAAGGGGUGCGAAAAGGCAACUUGGAGCAAAUCCCAACAAACGUUUUCUUAGUUCGGAUUGAGGUCUGCAACCCGACCUCAUGAAGCCGGAAUCGCUAGUAACCGUGGAUCAGCCAUGUCACGGUGAAUGAGUCCCUGGGUCUUGCACUCACCGCCCGUCAAG